Molecule: long non-coding RNA, 2157 nt
Organism: Apteryx haastii (Great spotted kiwi)
Lineage: Eukaryota; Metazoa; Chordata; Aves; Apterygiformes; Apterygidae
Source: Ensembl
CCGGGCCCGGCCCGGCGAGGGGCUGCGGCCGUGCGCCUCCGCCGCGGGUGCGGGGAUCCCCUCGCCCCCGGCCACGGCAUCCCACGGACGCGGCGCUGCGUUCGCCGCGCUCCGAUAAGCUGCUCCGGGUGUCCCGGGCCAGCCCCGCCAUCGGCAGGCGGCCCCUGGGCGAGGAGGGAAGGCAGGCGAGGGGAGCGGGGCGCUGACCGCCCCGCCGCGGUGCCCACGGGCCUGUCGUGCAGCCCCGAGCAGUGUCCCGGCCUUCACAGCGCCGGCUGGUGACGGCGGGGAGGCUGCCUCUGCGCCCUCCCUUGCCCCCGUGCAGGGGGCCGGAGGCCCGACCGCUGUUCCCUGCGGCCGUCGGGAUCCCUCAGCGUCUGCUCGGGCCACGAGAGGCCCUCGGGAAACAAGCAGCCGGGCUGUGCACGAAGCGGGCACGGUGUGACCAAGCGGGGCCGGGCCUGCAGGCUGGGGCCGAGCGCGGGGCCUGGCUGCCCCGAGCUCUGAGGAGGGGGCUCGCCGCCCCGUUCUGGGUGCCGGCCCCGUGGGCAGGCUGGCAGCGUGCGCUGACACAGCGGGCAGCUGCUCCCUGCUGUGGUGACGCGAAUAGAAAGUCAGUGACAUCCCGUUGCUGGAUGACAGGCCGGGUUGGGCUGCCGGCGUGGUCCUGGCUGCCUGCAGUCCCUCUGGGGCUUGCAGCCUCCUGUAGGGGGAGAGGGCUCGUAGCUGCCUGUAACUGUUCCACCGCUGUUUUCUCCGGGGGGACUGAUGCUAUGGGCCUAUUAUUCUUCUCUUUCAAGGAGACAAAGGGUGUCUUCCUUUACCUCCAAGCUGGAUACUUCAGAGAAAAAGAUCACCCCUGCCGUUCCCCCAAGACACAGGAAAACCAGAGGCAUAGAGACCUACAAUCAAACCACUAUAUAGAAGUAAAUACUAGCUGUAUAUGGACAUCUUUGCCAAAGUGGUUGAGGAGCAGAGCUAGCUACUUCCUUUUCAGAAUCCAGCUAUAUCAAAUAACAUAGCUUUAGAAGGAUUCAGAAACAUUUGCCAUGGGCAAGGAAACAGAGUGACAUAAUGAAUGUGAUUGAACUGAAGUGUGGACAGCAAUGGGGGAACGCAUGGCCAACAGAGCUGGAUAUGACUAAAAGUCAUUGCUGCAUGCGAGCACGAACACAGUAUCACAGGAACAGAUAUGCUAAUUCAUUUUAUGUACAUAUGUCAUCUGUUGAGGAUGGAUGUGUGUGUUACCACUGUGCUGCUGCUUCCAUGUUUUCUUGCACAUAUGCACUCCCUACUCAGUUAACAUGAUGUGAUAGGUGACCAGCAUAAGAGCAGUGCCAGAGUUAGUCUCAGAUAAAGCAGAUGAUAUAUUAGCUAGGCUGCACUUCCAGACUGCGUUGGGAACAUGUUUGAUAUUCGUAACUGUUACUAGCAUCCAUGUCUACUCUGUGGACUUAGUGUGAUGCAAUCUCUAUUACCUCCCUCAGAUACCAAGAUUUUGGUAACUGUUUUGUCGAUAGAAAAAUCCUGUAGGAUUCUUGAUAAUAAGAUGCACUGUGUGUGGUACAGCAGAGUGGAGGAGAGUGACUCAGUCUCUCCUGUCAUUUCGUUUGCCUGCUGGCUCCUCAGUGACCGUAGAUUGUGCUUUCUAGCUCUUAGUUCAUAGUUGCCCAUUCUGAAAUUGAUGAGUCCGCUCUAAGAUUUUAAUUUCACUAUACUGAUGUGCUGUUCUAACCUGUAAUUCUUGAUAAACUGGAUUGUUGUUUUGCUUAACUCUUGCCAGCAUCUAAUAAGCUGGUGGCAUAGGGUUUUUUUUAGUGUGGCUUGGAACUAUUUGGCCCCAUUAAAUUGGAGGCUAGAGUUACAGUGUGGAGGGUUGUCCACUGGCUACUAACCUGGUUCUUCAGUGCUUUGCAGCUGGUUGCUUGCUGCUCUUAUUAAGGUGCCGGGAGGAAGCAGAGUCUUCUUCUGUAUGUUAAUGACAAGAUUGUUUUGCAGCCAAAAUUGUUAUCGUUUCUGUGUUUAUAUACUAUUUACAUACAGAUAUGCUGAUGUAUAGUUACUAUGCUCUGUUGUUCAGUGGGCGAAUUUCAAACUGAGCCACAGACUUCACUGUCAGGUAAUAAACUAAGUUAGUUGGAUUACUGUCGAAUACUA